RNAcentral lists this ribosomal RNA (3468 nucleotides) under Triticum aestivum (bread wheat). RNAcentral describes it as "partial small subunit ribosomal RNA". The record is from RNAcentral. Lineage: Eukaryota; Viridiplantae; Streptophyta; Magnoliopsida; Poales; Poaceae.
AUGCGCCGCGUCUUGCGGCGCGGGCUGGGCAUCCUCCUCGUCCCACUCCCUGGCCCACUCAGCCGGCCGCCGCCGAUCCCUCUCGCUGCUCUCCUCCUCCUCCCGCGCCGCCUGGAUGCCUUCUUCCGACGGCCCUUCUGCGACUACAGCGGGGGCCGCGCCGUCGAGCAGUUCUCCGACGACGAGUACGACCACGAGUACGAGGACCACCGGCCGUCGUCGUCGGUGGCGAACAUCGACGAGUGGAGGUGGAAGCUGAGCAUGCUGCAGCGCAAUGCGGAGGAGCAGGAGAUCAUCUCCAGGGACCGGAGGGACCGCCGGGACUAUGACCAGAUCGCCAACCUCGCCAAGAGGAUGGGGCUCUACAGUGAGCUGUAUGGGAAGGUUAUUGUUGCGAGCAAGGUCCCGCUGCCGAACUACAGGCCGGACCUGGACGACAAGCGCCCGCAAAGAGAGGCGAGUCCAUGCAAUCCAAUGGUGGUGAUCCCGCUAAGCUUGCAGAGGAGGGUUGAAGGAUUUGUGCAGGAGCACCUUGACCGUUCGCUCUUGCCAUUUAAUAAAGACGGUGGCAAGUCAGAGAGUGGUUCUGAGAAAGCUGAGCAUGUGAACUUGGAUGAGAAGCAGGAUCCUCUGCUCGACGAGUCGGUUAUGGAGAAGAUCCUUCAGAGGAAGAGUCUUAGGAUGCGCAAUUUUCAAAGAAGUUGGCAGGAAUCACCUGAAGGCGCUAAGAUGGUAGAAUUUCGGAAAUCACUCCCAGCAUACAAGGAGAAGGAAAGGCUUCUAGCAGCCAUUGCACGUAAUCAGGUUAUAGUUAUUUCUGGGGAGACAGGGUGUGGAAAAACAACACAGUUGCCUCAAUUUGUGUUGGAGUCAGAGAUAGAAUCUGGUCGAGGGGCCUUUUGUAACAUAAUCUGUACACAGCCACGAAGAAUAUCUGCAAUGGCUGUUGCAGAAAGAGUAUCCACCGAAAGAGGAGAAAACCUUGGUGAAUCGGUUGGCUACAAAGUUCGAUUGGAGGGAAUUAGAGGAAAAGAUACACAUUUACUUUUCUGCACCAGUGGUAUUUUACUAAGACGAUUGCUGAGUGACCGAAACUUGAAUGGAGUAUCUCAUGUAUUUGUUGAUGAAAUACAUGAAAGAGGGAUGAAUGAAGAUUUCUUAUUGAUUGUUCUAAAGGACCUAUUGUCACGGCGCCGCGAUCUAAGGUUGAUAUUGAUGAGUGCUACUUUAAAUGCGGAACUGUUCUCAAGUUAUUUCGGAGGAGCGCCAACUAUCCACAUUCCUGGAUUCACACAUCCAGUGAGGGCGCAUUUUCUGGAAGACAUAUUAGAGAGGACAGGCUAUAAGAUGACAGCAAGUAAUCAACUUGACGAUUACGGCCAAGAUAAAGUGUGGAAGACUCAGAGACAGCUAUUACCAAGAAAAAGGAAAAAUCAAAUUACUACACUUGUCGAGGAUGCCCUUCAAAAUUCGAACUUUGAAACCUAUGGCUCAAGGACACGUGAUUCUCUGGCAAACUGGAAUCCUGAUUGCAUAGGGUUUAAUCUCAUAGAGGCUGUUCUGUGCCACAUAUGUCGCAAAGAGCGAGCUGGUGCAGUUUUAGUUUUUAUGACCGGAUGGGAUGACAUUAGCUCUUUGAAGGAUCAACUAAAAGCGCAUCCGUUGCUAGGCGACCCAAAUAGAGUGUUACUGCUUGCAUGCCAUGGUUCCAUGGCUACCUCUGAGCAGAGGCUAAUAUUUGACAAGGCACCUCCUAAUGUUCGGAAGGUAGUACUUGCCACUAACAUGGCAGAGGCAAGUAUUACCAUAAAUGACAUCGUUUUCGUCAUGGAUUGUGGAAAAGCAAAGGAAACCACAUACGAUGCUCUAAACAACACUCCCUGCUUGCUCCCCUCAUGGAUUUCAAAGGCUUCUUCCCGUCAGAGGAGGGGCAGAGCUGGUCGUGUCCAACCUGGAGAAUGCUAUCAUCUCUACCCCCGAUGUGUAUAUGAUGCAUUUGCAGAGUACCAGCUUCCAGAGCUUCUUAGGACUCCUUUGAAUUCACUAUGUUUGCAGAUAAAAAGUUUGCAGGUUGACAGCAUUGGGGAGUUUCUAUCAGCUGCUUUGCAGCCUCCAGAACCACGAGCCGUCCAAAAUGCAGUGGAAUUCCUGAAGAUGAUCGGAUCAUUAGAUGAGAACGAGAACCUUACUGAUCUAGGAAGAUACCUCUCCAUGCUUCCAGUUGAUCCGAAGUUGGGGAAGAUGCUUAUAAUGGGUGCAGUUUUCCGUUGCAUUGACCCUAUACUUACUGUGGUUGCUGGAUUGAGUGCCCGGGAUCCUUUCCUGUUGCCACAGGACAAGAAAGAUUUGGCAGGAACUGCAAAAUCAAGAUUCUCAGCGAAAGAUUAUAGUGAUCAUAUGGCCCUUGUACGAGCUUAUGAAGGAUGGAAGGAUGCUGAGAGGGAAGGAUCUGGUUAUGAGUACUGUUGGAGGAAUUUCCUUUCUGCUCAAACACUACAAGCCAUUCAUUCUCUUCGAAAGCAAUUCAGCUAUAUCUUAAAGGACGCCGGUUUGAUAGACUCUGAUGCAAAUACAAAUAAUAGUUUGAGCCAUAAUCAAUCAUUAGUUCGUGGUGUAAUUUGUUCUGGACUUUUUCCUGGGAUAUCAUCUGUUGUGCAUAGGGAAAACUCCAUGUCCUUCAAGACCAUGGAUGACGGCCAAGUUCUUGUUUAUGCUAACUCCGUGAAUGCUAAGUACCAGACCAUCCCUUAUCCAUGGCUGGUCUUUGGUGAGAAGGUGAAGGUAAAUGCUGUCUUCAUCCGUGAUUCAACUGGAGUAUCAGAUUCCAUACUGAUCUUAUUUGGUGGUGCUGUUACAAAAGGAAGCGCGGCUGGGCAUUUGAAGAUGCUUGAUGGUUACAUUGAUCUAUUUAUGGAUCCCAGCCUGUCAGAGUGCUACUUGCAACUUAAAGAGGAACUUGAUAAACUUGUACAGAAGAAGCUUGAAGACCCAACCUUUGACAUUCACAAGGAAGGCAAAUACAUUUUAUUUGCUGCACAAGAGCUUGCUGCGGGCGACCUAUGUGAAGGAAGGUUUGUGUUCGGCCGAGAAACGAGCAGAGCUAGGCUUCGGGACAACGAAGACGGCAAAAGCAACAUCAUAAAGGAUGGUAUGAACCCAAAGAGCCUGCUGCAGACCUUGCUGAUGAGGGCAGGCCACACGCCUCCAAAGUACAAGACAAAGCACCUCAAGACCAACGAGUUCAGGGCCAUGGUGGAGUUCAAAGGGAUGCAGUUCGUCGGGAAGCCGAAGAGGAACAAGCAGGUCGCGGAGAGGGACGCCGCGAUAGAAGCUCUGGGAUGGUUGACACAAACGUCCGGUACGAAGCUCCAGGAUGAGGGUGACGACUCCCCGCUCGACCUGACCGAUAACAUGCUUAAGCUGCUUUCUAGACCAAGGAAACGGACGAGAAAUAACCCGAAGAAAUGA